This is a non-coding RNA of Gossypium hirsutum (cotton), 145 nucleotides long. Lineage: Eukaryota; Viridiplantae; Streptophyta; Magnoliopsida; Malvales; Malvaceae. The record is from Rfam.
UAUUAAAAAUUUCAUUUAUUUGUACUAUUAAAAGUUGACGUGGUUAAUAGAAUAACCAAACAAUGACAUGUGACAUGUCAUGUGUAUCUCCUGCCAGCAUACAAGGGUCAAUUUUUAACAAUAGAAAUGAAUGAAACUUUUAACA